This 75-nucleotide transfer RNA is filed under the name Cryomorphaceae bacterium. RNAcentral's name for it is "tRNA-Cys". It matches the Rfam family "tRNA". Rfam says of the family: Transfer RNA (tRNA) molecules are approximately 80 nucleotides in length. Their secondary structure includes four short double-helical elements and three loops (D, anti-codon, and T loops). Lineage: Bacteria; Pseudomonadati; Bacteroidota; Flavobacteriia; Flavobacteriales; Cryomorphaceae. The record is from RNAcentral.
GGUCGGAUGGCUGAGAGGCUUAGGCAGCGGUCUGCAAAACCGUCUACACCGGUUCGAAUCCGGUUCCGACCUCCA